RNAcentral lists this ribosomal RNA (165 nucleotides) under Getonia floribunda. Its description in RNAcentral is "5.8S ribosomal RNA". The stretch from base 27 to 165 matches the Rfam family "5.8S ribosomal RNA". From Rfam's summary of the family: 5.8S ribosomal RNA (5.8S rRNA) is a component of the large subunit of the eukaryotic ribosome. It is transcribed by RNA polymerase I as part of the 45S precursor that also contains 18S and 28S rRNA. Functionally, it is thought that 5.8S rRNA may be involved in ribosome translocation. The record is from RNAcentral. Lineage: Eukaryota; Viridiplantae; Streptophyta; Magnoliopsida; Myrtales; Combretaceae.
UGCUGUUCAGUGUCGUAAUUCCAAACGACUCUCGGCAACGGAUAUCUCGGCUCUCGCAUCGAUGAAGAACGUAGCGAAAUGCGAUACUUGGUGUGAAUUGCAGAAUCCCGUGAACCAUCGAGUCUUUGAACGCAAGUUGCGCCCAAAGCCUUGGCUGAGGGCACG